GUCAUUUUGUGUCCCUGCAUCUAUUUUUAGUCGUAAAAGUAAAGGGAAGCACUCAUGUCUGCAAUAUCAGAGAUUCCUGACAUCACUUUGGUUAAGCUGCUAAGUCAACUAUAGGGGUCAUGAGUAGACUUUGCGUCGCUUUAAAGGGGCACAAUCCAAAAUGGUUUGGAACCACUGCUCUAUCGCCUUUUACAUGAUCUUAAUAUCACUUGUUAUAAAAGGAUGGUGGUUCAAUCAGAGGGCAACAUCUUUUACAUGUUCUGCUUUUGCUGUUGCUCAAAACCUGAAAAUGUCAAACCACCAGAGGGCAGUGCAGCUGCAGUUUCCUGUUCCUUUGGAUUCAGUGUAACUUCCCUUGAAAGCAGCUGCUGUUGCACUAGAUACCCUGAAGGGGUCGCUGGUGUGUCUUCAUCUGAUUUGGGAGUUUUUGGGUGCGAUGCAUCUCCUCUCCUGUUAACAAGACAAAUUGUAUUCUCAUGCAAAUCCAGUUCCCAAGUUUCUAGUGAUUGUGGAGAUAAAAAACAAGACAAGUGACAUGAAAACUGCAAUGGAUAUGUGUCUGAUUAACAUUUGAUUUUUGCUGCCUGCUGCAUUUUAUAGCCUACUGUUUUAGCUUUGAUUUCAUUUACCGGCAGAUUUAAUAAAAAUUGUGUGUUUACUCAUGAAGAAAAGCCAGGUUGGAUUAAUGGACAUUGGCCUUGUUUUCACUGCUGCUUAAAAGAAAUGUACUCAGUGCAACUGCUGUGGAACAGUUGAUUCCUGAACCGUAUUUUAACUCUAUAUCAGUGUAACUAUAUGGUCUCCUGGGGUAUCUCAAAUAAUGUGCAAUGCAGCUUCAGUAUAUGGAGAAGUUUUCCAAAUCCUAACAACUGAUUUGAGUUUCACAACAGUUGCAAAAGAGGACAGUGAAACCUCAGCCACUGAGUAGACCACUUCACAUGCUUUAUUUCAGCACCCAAAAUAAUUAAAAACAUCUCAAUUUAUUAUACAUGUACAAAAUAAGUACAGAAUCUCUCUUUUAAACCAUGAAAGUGGGUCUGCUUCAAAUUCUUUUUUAAGAAACCCUUCGCGAAAGACAUCAACAAACAACAUAAACAACAAGGUGGGAGAUGUGUGCUGUUUUUUUUUUUUAGUGAAGAGGAGUUUUCCACAGGGGGGCGGGGAAACAGACAGAGGGAUCAACACUGGACAAAUGUGCAGGGAAAUGAUAUUGAACCAGAGUCACUUGCUUUUUUUUUUUAUCUACAAAGACAUGAUUGCAUGCAUUACAUCUGCAGUGAUCACGUUUUCAGAACACUUAAGAAGAAAACCAUUGCACUGCAUAGACAACAAGACAAUGAGUCAAUUUAGUAGCACCAAAGGUUCUGCAGGCAUUAGUGGCAAUAAUUACAGUAUGACCGUGAGAGUUUCACCAUCAAACACCAAUAACUGGUCCUUGUUGAAAUGGCAAUAGCACCUUUGAAUGUUUUUGAUUUCCCCACACUAAACUUGUGUAAAAUAUACCCUUUCUCAUUUAAGAAAAAAAAAUGUCUUGACUUCUUGUUAUGAGGUAGCCAUCUACAUAUUGCAAUGAAGGUGAGCUUCUUUGUUUUUGCUCUUUCUCUGAUCUUUGUCGGAGCAACAUUCAGGUGUUUUUUUUUUCUUUCAAGAAUUUAGAACAAGAAGACGCUUUUCACACUUUUUACAAUUUAUUUAACACCAGAAAAAUGGUACACAUCACUUGUUGUUUUCAAUGUCCUUCCGCAGUGGUA
Sander lucioperca (pikeperch) is the source of this 1751-nucleotide long non-coding RNA. RefSeq lists it as uncharacterized. The transcript is spliced from 2 exons. NCBI's taxonomy places the organism in Eukaryota, Metazoa, Chordata, Actinopteri, Perciformes, Percidae. The record is from RefSeq and is a predicted model, not a curated record.